AUUGAACGCUGGCGGCAUGCCUUACACAUGCAAGUCGAACGGCAGCACGGGAGCAAUCCUGGUGGCGAGUGGCGAACGGGUGAGUAAUAUAUCGGAACGUGCCCAGUAGUGGGGGAUAGCCCGGCGAAAGCCGGAUUAAUACCGCAUACGACCUGAGGGUGAAAGCGGGGGAUCGCAAGACCUCGCGCUAUUGGAGCGGCCGAUAUCAGAUUAGCUUGUUGGUGGGGUAAAAGCCUACCAAGGCGACGAUCUGUAGCUGGUCUGAGAGGACGACCAGCCACACUGGGACUGAGACACGGCCCAGACUCCUACGGGAGGCAGCAGUGGGGAAUUUUGGACAAUGGGCGCAAGCCUGAUCCAGCCAUGCCGCGUGCGGGAAGAAGGCCUUCGGGUUGUAAACCGCUUUUGUCAGGGAAGAAACGGCUCUUGAUAAUACCGAGAGCUAAUGACGGUACCUGAAGAAUAAGCACCGGCUAACUACGUGCCAGCCGCCGCCGUAA
RNAcentral lists this ribosomal RNA (500 nucleotides) under uncultured bacterium. Its description in RNAcentral is "partial 16S ribosomal RNA". It matches the Rfam family "Bacterial small subunit ribosomal RNA", at positions 29 to 523 of the family's 1533-position model. The record is from RNAcentral.